RNAcentral lists this ribosomal RNA (1056 nucleotides) under Triticum aestivum (bread wheat). RNAcentral describes it as "partial small subunit ribosomal RNA". Lineage: Eukaryota; Viridiplantae; Streptophyta; Magnoliopsida; Poales; Poaceae. The record is from RNAcentral.
AUGGCGACAGCAGGAGCUCCGCCUCUCCACUGCGGCAUCCCGGAAGAGGUCGCCAUCUGGGAGAUCCUCGUUCGCCUGGCCCCCAAGGCCCUCCUCCGCUGCCGCGCCGUCUGCCGCGCCUGGCGCCGCGCCACCUCCACCCGCGACUUCCUCCUCGCUCACCACGCCCACCAGCCAUCCCUCGCCCUCAUCUACGGCGAAGACGGCAACUCCGUACUCAUCAUGCCCUUUAACCACCGGGCAGGGCCCGUCGCGCGACUUUACAGCGUCGACGACGCCCUGUUCCAGGCCUCCUGCGACGGCCUCCUCGUCAUCUGCGUCCACGGCAAGCACUUCUCCAUCCGCAACCCGGCGACUCGUCAAUACGCCAACCUCUCGCUGCUUCAUGGCUUCAAGCUCUUGGGGAUGUACCAGCACAGCCAUACCGGCGAGUAUCGGCUAUUGCUCUACCUGUCCGUGGCCGUGAAGUGGAUGUACAGUGCACUGCCUCAAGUUCAAGAGGGCUCCUACGUCUUCACGAUAGGCUCCGGCCAGCCGCCCAGGCACAUAGGGUGCUCCGAUGCGGAGGAACUGAUAUGCAUCCCCGGAUCUGUUUGUUUCCAUGGUGGCCUGCAUUGGUAUACAAACCACGUGAUAAAGAUAUUUGACACCACCGCCGAGUCGUUCCGGCAGAUGCGCUCUCCGUUUGUUCGUGGCCACGCUCGCCUGUUUGAGGUGGACAGCAUGCUUGGCAUGUCCACUUUUAAUGGUGAUGUUGAUAUCUGGGUGGUGCAAGAGCAAGACUACAAAGACGAGGUCUGGGCAUUGAAAUAUCGGGUUGAAUUGCCGGUUGCAGAGAUCAGAGUGCAAUUUGGAAUGUUUGAAAUUAAAUAUUGUCGUGCGAGGGCCGAGUCUUGUGAGGGUGAUGUGCUCGUGCUGCUCGAAUUUGAUGAUUGGCUACUUCAAGUUGACAUCAAUGGCAGGUUGGUUGCUGGAUUCCAUCGCAGAGGCCUCAUUCGUACUCAAGUCCGGCUCAAACAGACUCUACUUUUGCACACUUUCUUUCCGACACUAUAG